Ruditapes philippinarum (Manila clam) is the source of this 241-nucleotide long non-coding RNA. RefSeq lists it as uncharacterized. Lineage: Eukaryota; Metazoa; Mollusca; Bivalvia; Venerida; Veneridae. The record is from RefSeq and is a predicted model, not a curated record. The transcript has 2 exons.
CAGAUGCUUUACUGAAAUGUAAGUGUAUGAGUCGGGCGCUGUGCGCUGCGCUUGAUGGUACAGUUGGAGUAUAUAAUGGUCAUACCUGCGACACUCUUUGUCCAGACAUAUGUUGCUGUUACAGUAUACAAUAAGAAUAAGUGUUUAAAUGGCAGACUGGAGUACUACAUGCAUGUAUUUCAAUUGCUCUUGUCAUUUAAAAUUAAUGUAAAUUGAAGUAGCAAAUAAAUAUGUCACUUCC